RNAcentral lists this ribosomal RNA (1347 nucleotides) under uncultured bacterium. RNAcentral describes it as "bacterial SSU rRNA". It matches the Rfam family "Bacterial small subunit ribosomal RNA", at positions 27 to 1381 of the family's 1533-position model. The record is from RNAcentral.
GGACGAACGCUGGCGGCGUGCCUAACACAUGCAAGUCGAGCGGAGGUAUUCAAGGAGCAAUCUGCGGAUACUUUAGCGGCGGACGGGUGAGUAACGCGUGAGCAACCUGCCUUUCACAGGGGGAUAAGGCGGCGAAAGCCGCUCUAAUACCGCAUGAGACCCCGGUGGUGAUACCACAGCGGUCAAAGGAGCAAUCCGGUGAGAGAUGGGCUCGCGUCCGAUUAGGUAGUUGGUGAGGUAAAGGCUCACCAAGCCAAUGAUCGGUAGCCGGCCUGAGAGGGUGAACGGCCACAUUGGAACUGAGAGACGGUCCAAACUCCUACGGGAGGCAGCAGUGGGGAAUAUUGGGCAAUGGGGGAAACCCUGACCCAGCAACGCCGCGUGAGGGAAGAAGGUUUUCGGAUUGUAAACCUCUGUUCUUGGGGAAGAGCAGAAGACGGUACCCAAGGAGGAAGCCCCGGCUAACUACGUGCCAGCAGCCGCGGUAAUACGUAGGGGGCGAGCGUUGUCCGGAAUGAUUGGGCGUAAAGGGCGCGUAGGCGGCUGUGUAAGUCAGUAGUGGAAGUCCAGCUUUUAAGGUUGGAAGUGCUAUUGAAACUGUGCAGCUUGAGUGCAGGAGAGGUUAUCGGAAUUCCCGGUGUAGCGGUGAAAUGCGUAGAGAUCGGGAGGAACACCAGUGGCGAAGGCGGGUAACUGGACUGCAACUGACGCUGAGGCGCGAAAGUGUGGGGAGCAAACAGGAUUAGAUACCCUGGUAGUCCACACUGUAAACGAUGAAUGCUAGGUGUAGGGGGUAUCGACCCCUUCUGUGCCGGAGUAAACACAAUAAGCAUUCCGCCUGGGGAGUACGGCCGCAAGGUUAAAACUCAAAGGAAUUGACGGGGACCCGCACAAGCGGUGGAUGAUGUGGAUUAAUUCGAUGCAACGCGAAAAACCUUACCUACCCUUGACAUGUUCAGAAGUCUUGAGAGAUUGAGAUGUGCCCGAAAGGGAACUGGAACACAGGUGCUGCAUGGCUGUCGUCAGCUCGUGUCGUGAGAUGUUGGGUUAAGUCCCGCAACGAGCGCAACCCUUGUCGUUAAUUGCCAUCAUUUAGUUGGGCACUUUAACGAGACUGCCGGUGACAAACCGGAGGAAGGUGGGGAUGACGUCAAGUCCUCAUGGCCCUUAUGGGUAGGGCUUCACACGUCAUACAAUGGUCGGUACAGAGGGUUGCCAAGCCGCGAGGUGGAGCCAAUCCCAGAAAGCCGAUCGUAGUCCGGAUUGCAGGCUGCAACUCGCCUGCAUGAAGCAGGAGUUGCUAGUAAUCGCGAAUCAGCAUGUCGCGGUGAAUACGUUCCCGGGCCU